GACGAACGCUGGCGGCGUGCUUAACACAUGCAAGUCGAGCGGUAAGGCCCUUUCGGGGGUACACGAGCGGCGAACGGGUGAGUAACACGUGGGUGACCUGCCCUCAGCUCUGGGAUAAGCCUGGGAAACCGGGUCUAAUACCGGAUAUGACUCCAUGACGCAUGUUGUGGGGUGGAAAGCCUUGUGCGGCUGAGGAUGGGCCCGCGGCCUAUCAGCUUGUUGGUGGGGUGAAUGGCCUACCAAGGCGACGACGGGUAGCCGGCCUGAGAGGGCGACCGGCCACACUGGGACUGAGACACGGCCCAGACUCCUACGGGAGGCAGCAGUGGGGAAUCUUGCGCAAUGGGCGAAAGCCUGACGCAGCGACGCCGCGUGAGGGAUGACGGCCUC
Molecule: ribosomal RNA, 390 nt
Filed under: uncultured bacterium
Lineage: Bacteria
Description: bacterial SSU rRNA
Rfam family: Bacterial small subunit ribosomal RNA
Source: RNAcentral